GACGAACCGUGCGAACGUUAUUCGGAAUCACUGGGCUUAAAGGGCGCGUAGGCGGGUUCUCAAGUCAGGGGUGAAAUCCCGCGGCUCAACCGUGGAAGUGCCUUUGAUACUGGGGACCUCGAGGGAGGUAGGGGCGUGCGGAACUUCCGGUGGAGCGGUGAAAUGCGUAGAUAUCAGGAGGAACACCAAUGGCGAAGGCAGCUCGCUGGAACGGUACUGACGCUGAGGCGCGAAAGCGUGGGGAGCAAACAGG
This 253-nucleotide ribosomal RNA is filed under the name uncultured bacterium. RNAcentral's name for it is "partial 16S ribosomal RNA". It matches the Rfam family "Bacterial small subunit ribosomal RNA", at positions 524 to 776 of the family's 1533-position model. The record is from RNAcentral.